UCCGGAGGGUGCAAGCGUUAAUCGGAAUUACUGGGCGUAAAGCGCACGCAGGCGGUCUGUCAAGUCGGAUGUGAAAUCCCCGGGCUCAACCUGGGAACUGCAUUCGAAACUGGCAGGCUAGAGUCUUGUAGAGGGGGGUAGAAUUCCAGGUGUAGCGGUGAAAUGCGUAGAGAUCUGGAGGAAUACCGGUGGCGAAGGCGGCCCCCUGGACAAAGACUGACGCUCAGGUGCGAAAGCGUGGGGAGCAAACAGG
This 253-nucleotide ribosomal RNA is filed under the name uncultured bacterium. RNAcentral describes it as "partial 16S ribosomal RNA". It matches the Rfam family "Bacterial small subunit ribosomal RNA", at positions 524 to 776 of the family's 1533-position model. The record is from RNAcentral.